This 205-nucleotide long non-coding RNA is filed under the name Nicotiana benthamiana. Its description in RNAcentral is "long non-coding RNA (NBEN_LNC007007)". Lineage: Eukaryota; Viridiplantae; Streptophyta; Magnoliopsida; Solanales; Solanaceae. The record is from RNAcentral.
CCAAUAAUAUAUCAACUUCGACAGAAUAGCUAAGUGGGUGUUACGUUCUGCAGCAUUGAAAUGGGGAUAGCAACAAGACAGCAAAGAGAAACAGUGCAAUAAAAACGCAAAUCAGCGGACAAUGAACGACGAUUCCAUGGUUCCAAAAUAGAUUUUAUAUAUGAAAAUUUACGAUUACAAAGAUGGAACUUCGAUGAGAAAAACU